This 402-nucleotide ribosomal RNA is filed under the name uncultured bacterium. RNAcentral describes it as "bacterial SSU rRNA". It matches the Rfam family "Bacterial small subunit ribosomal RNA", at positions 355 to 774 of the family's 1533-position model. The record is from RNAcentral.
UUAGGAAUUUUGGGCAAUGGGCGGAAGCCUGACCCAGCAACGCCGCGUGGGUGACGAAGGCCUUCGGGUCGUAAAGCCCUUUUCCCAGGGAAGAUAGUGACGGUACCUGGGGAAUCAGCCCCGGCUAACUACGUGCCAGCAGCCGCGGUAAUACGUAGGGGGCAAGCGUUGUCCGGAUUUAUUGGGCGUAAAACACUCGCAGGUGGUUCAUUGCGUCGUGCGUGAAAGACCCUGGCUCAACUGGAAAGUGUCGUGCGAAACGGAUGGACUUGAGGGCAGUAGGGAGAUGCGGAAUUCCGGGUGUAGUGGUGGAAUGCGUAGAGAUCCGGAGGAACACCAGCGGCGAAGGCGGCAUCCUGGACUGUGCCUGACACUCAGGAGCGAAAGCGUGAGAAGCGAUCC